RNAcentral lists this ribosomal RNA (268 nucleotides) under uncultured bacterium. RNAcentral's name for it is "partial 16S ribosomal RNA". It matches the Rfam family "Bacterial small subunit ribosomal RNA", at positions 90 to 354 of the family's 1533-position model. The record is from RNAcentral.
CCGGACCGGCGCACGGGUGAGUAACACGUAUGGAACCUGCCCUAUGCAGGGGGAUAAGCGGAAGAAAUUCCGUCUAAUACCGCAUAACACCUUUAGGAGACAUCUUCUUGGGGUCAAAGGAGGCGACUCCGGCAUAGGAUGGCCAUGCGUCGCAUUAGCUAGUCGGCGGGGUAACGGCCCACCGAGGCGACGAUGCGUAGGGGUUCUGAGAGGAAGGUCCCCCACACUGGUACUGAGACACGGACCAGACUCCUACGGAAGGCAGCAG